AGCAGCCGCGGUAAUUCCAGCUCCAAUAGCGUAUAUUAAAGUUGUUGCAGUUAAAAAGCUCGUAGUUGAAUUUCGGGGUUAGUAGGUUGGUCGUGCCACUGGUACGUACUGGUCUCACUGACUCCUCCUUCCUGAUGAACUGUAAUGCCAUUAAUUUGGUGUUGCGGGGAAACUGGACUGUUACUUUGAAAAAAUUAGAGUGUUUAAAGCAAGCUAACGCUUGAAUACAUUAGCAUGGAAUAAUGAAAUAGGACGUUCGAUCCUAUUUUGUGGUUUCUAGGAUUUGACGUAAUGAUUAAUAGGGAUAGUUGGGGGCAUUAGUAUUCAAUUGUCAGAGGUGAAAAUUCUUGGAUUUAUUGAAGACUAACUACUGCGAAAGCAUUUGCCAAGGAUGUUUUCAUUAAUCAAGAACGAAAGUUAGGGGAUCGAAGACGAUCAGAUACCGUCGUAGUCUUAACCAUAAACUAUGACCGACUAGGGAUCGGAUGAUGUAUUUUUAAUGUACUCAUUCGGCGCCUUA
Molecule: ribosomal RNA, 520 nt
Filed under: uncultured Glomus
Lineage: Eukaryota; Fungi; Glomeromycota; Glomeromycetes; Glomerales; Glomeraceae
Description: SSU rRNA
Rfam family: Eukaryotic small subunit ribosomal RNA
Source: RNAcentral